UCGGCUUAGAGUUUGAUCAUGGCUCAGAUUGAACGCUGGCGGCAGGCUUAACACAUGCAAGUCGAACGGUAAAGUAGCUUGCUACUUACGAGUGGCGGACGGGUGAGUAACGUAUGGGAAUUUACCGAAUGGAGGGGGACAACAGUUGGAAACGGCUGCUAAUACCGCAUAACGUCGAGAGACCAAAGGGUUUCGACUUGCCAUUUGAUGAGCCCAUAUGAGAUUAGCUAGUUGGUGUGGUAAUGGCUCACCAAGGCGACGAUCUCUAGCUGGUUUGAGAGGAUGACCAGCCACACUGGGACUGAGACACGGCCCAGACUCCUACGGGAGGCAGCAGUGGGGAAUAUUGCACAAUGGGGGGAACCCUGAUGCAGCCAUGCCGCGUGUAUGAAGAAAGCCUUAGGGUUGUAAAGUACUUUCGUGGAGGAGGAAGGGUUUACGUAAUCGUGGACAUUGACGUUACUCCAAGAAGAAGCACCGGCUAACUCCGUGCCAGCAGCCGCGGUAAUACGG
RNAcentral lists this ribosomal RNA (513 nucleotides) under uncultured Enterobacteriaceae bacterium. RNAcentral describes it as "bacterial SSU rRNA". It matches the Rfam family "Bacterial small subunit ribosomal RNA", at positions 1 to 528 of the family's 1533-position model. The record is from RNAcentral. Lineage: Bacteria; Pseudomonadati; Pseudomonadota; Gammaproteobacteria; Enterobacterales; Enterobacteriaceae.